AACUAUUAAAUCAAUAGAUGAUGAACUGUAAAUUCAUAUAAGAUAAUAUAUU
RNAcentral lists this transfer RNA (52 nucleotides) under Ebrechtella tricuspidata. RNAcentral's name for it is "tRNA-Tyr". The record is from RNAcentral. Lineage: Eukaryota; Metazoa; Arthropoda; Arachnida; Araneae; Thomisidae.